AAUAGGACAAAAAGACCCUAUGGAGCGUUCUUAUUUUAAUUUAAAAAAUUCAACCUACUGGACAGAUGCCCAUAAUAUAUAAGCUAAUAAUUUUGUUUGAGGUAACCUCAGAAUAUAGAAAACCCUCUGAAUGAUUUUAGCUUAGACUCACAAGUCGAAGCAAACCUGAAAGCGCUAUUGACCCAAAUAUUUUGAUCAAUGGACUAAGCCACCCUAGGGAAAACACACAAUCCUUCUCAAGAGUUCAUAUCAACAGUUACUGUUUAUGNCCUUGUUGUUGGACCAGGACAGCCCUAUGGUAUCACCUGUUCAAUUGACAAUUUGUUGACUUAACAAAUGAACACCAUUAAUGGUUCAUCUGUUCAAUGAUUAAAGUCCUACCUGGUCUGAGUUCAGAUCGCAGUAAUCCAAGAUGGUUUGUAUCUAUU
This 428-nucleotide non-coding RNA is filed under the name Neotoma lepida (desert woodrat). Its description in RNAcentral is "Bacterial large subunit ribosomal RNA". It matches the Rfam family "Bacterial large subunit ribosomal RNA", at positions 2074 to 2646 of the family's 2925-position model. The record is from Rfam by way of RNAcentral. Lineage: Eukaryota; Metazoa; Chordata; Mammalia; Rodentia; Cricetidae.